Molecule: ribosomal RNA, 743 nt
Filed under: uncultured bacterium
Lineage: Bacteria
Description: bacterial SSU rRNA
Rfam family: Bacterial small subunit ribosomal RNA
Source: RNAcentral
AGAGUUUGAUCCUGGCUCAGGAUGAAUGCUGGCGAUGUGGAUAAGUCAUGCAAGUCGAACGGUCCGCAAGGACAGUGGCAGACGAGGUAGUAACACGUAGGUACACCCCCCGAAGUCGGGCAUAGCCAGCCGAAAGGUUGGGUAAUUCCCGAUAGUCGCGUAAGCGUAAAGAUUUAUCGCUUCGGGAGUGGCCUGCGUAAUAUCAGCUAGUUGGUAAGGUAACGGCUUACCAAGGCUACGACGUUUAGGGGAGCUGAGAGGCUGACCCCCACCGAUGGGACUGCGAUACGGCCCAUACUCCUACGGGAGGCUGCAGACGAGAAUAUUCCGCAAUGGACGCAAGUCUGACGGAGCGACAUCGCGUGAUGGAUGAAGUGCUUCGGUACGUAAACAUCUUUUAUGGGGGACGAAGUCAUUGACGGUACCCCAUGAAUAAGGGGCUGCUAACUCUGUGCCAGCAGCAGCGGUAAUACAGAGGCCCCAAGCAUUAUCCGGAAUCACUGGGCGUAAAGGGUGUCCAGGCGGCCCUGUUAGUCUCUUGUAAAAUCCGUGGGCUCAACCUACGGUCCGCAAGGGAAACGGCAGGGCUCGAGGGCGCGAGAGGUACAGGGAACUCAUGGUGGAGGGGUGAAAUCCGUUGAUAUCAUGGGGAACACCAAAGGCGAAGGCACUGUACUGGCGCGUUCCUGACGCUCACACACGAAAGCCAGGGUAGCGAACGGGAUUAGAUACCCCCGUAGUCC